CUCGGCUCUUUCCGCGCCUGACCGGCGAAAAGCAGAAGGAAACUAUUAUAUGGAGUGCUGCCUGCACGGAGGAGGAGCUGCGGCUUGUCACCUUCCUCCCUGACGUCAGCCGAGCUGCCCGGCUUGGCUAAUGGCUGCUGGGCAGAGGCGACACCGCCCCUGCAAGGGUGGCACCCGAAGGGAGGGAGGGAGGGAGGGAGGGAGGGAGCACCCGGCGCAAACAAACACGAGCGGGUCCCCCGACCCGUUUCCCAGAAAGCGGGCAAGGAAGCGCGGUCCGAGGUGGCAUCCAAGGAGGGUGGCGCGCAGAGCCGGCUUGGGACUGUUGCUAUUUAAUGAUGGCACUCGACCCAGUCACGUUCUUGUUGAGCGAGGCCGUGGCUGCAAUCCUGAGGACGCUGAGUGAUCGCCGCGGCCGGGGAAGAUGUCACUCCAGUGAUUUCUGAGUAGACCUCUUCAGGACUUUUCCCGCUGUUAGCUGAUAGAGUAUGGGACGCAGAAAAAAAUCUGGGGGUCUCAACAUUUUAGGAAUUUUUGCAUCCCUAUUGCAUAAAGGAAAACAAGUUGGAAGAUUUCCUGUGGGGGAUGGAUUUCUAUUCUCAGAAAGGUGGGGAGAGGACCUCUCUCUCAAAUGCCUUGAUUCAGAACAAGGGGAUGCACAUGUCACCACCUUCAUCUGGCACCACCUUUAUCUGCUGUGUGAACUUUGCCUGAACUAAGUUGGAUAUAAGAGAAGGGUGGCAAGUUAUGCAUCUUUUGGGACUUUUGAGAUAAGGUGACUACAACCAAGGAAACUUUAAAAACCCAAAACAGAAGUAUAUGUCUUUCAUUGGCUUACCAAACAGAAAUCAAAAAGAUUACUAAUAAUA
This is a long non-coding RNA of Sphaerodactylus townsendi, 869 nucleotides long. RefSeq lists it as uncharacterized. The record is from RefSeq and is a predicted model, not a curated record. The transcript has 3 exons. Lineage: Eukaryota; Metazoa; Chordata; Lepidosauria; Squamata; Sphaerodactylidae.